GACGAACGCUGGCGGCGUGCUUAACACAUGCAAGUCGAACGGUAAGGCCCUUCGGGGUACACGAGUGGCGAACGGGUGAGUAGCACGUGGGUGAUCUGCCCUGCACUUCGGGAUAAGCCUGGGAAACUGGGUCUAAUACCGGAUAGGACCACUGCCUGCAUGGGUGGUGGUGGAAAGCUUUUGCGGUGUGGGAUGGGCCCGCGGCCUAUCAGCUUGUUGGUGGGGUGGUGGCCUACCAAGGCGACGACGGUUAGCCGGCCUGAGAGGUUGACCGGCCACACUGGGACUGAGAUACGGCCCAGACUCCUACGGGAGGCAGCAGUGGGGAAUAUUGCACAAUGGGCGCAAGCCUGAUGCAGCGACGCCGCGUGAGGGAUGACGGCCUUCGGGUUGUAAACCUCUUUCAGCACCGACGAAGCGCAAGUGACGGUAGGUGCAGAAGAAGGACCGGCCAACUACGUGCCAGCCGCCGCGGUAA
This 478-nucleotide ribosomal RNA is filed under the name uncultured bacterium. Its description in RNAcentral is "partial 16S ribosomal RNA". It matches the Rfam family "Bacterial small subunit ribosomal RNA", at positions 28 to 523 of the family's 1533-position model. The record is from RNAcentral.